Molecule: long non-coding RNA, 5504 nt
Filed under: Salmo salar (Atlantic salmon)
Lineage: Eukaryota; Metazoa; Chordata; Actinopteri; Salmoniformes; Salmonidae
Description: lncRNA (ENSSSAG00000113848.1)
Source: RNAcentral
UAGGGCUCUGGUCUAAAGUAGUGCACUAUAUAGGGAAUAGGGUUCUAUAGGGCUCUGGUCUAAAGUAGUGCACUAUAUAGGGAAUAGGGUUCUAUAGCGCUCUGGUCUAAAGUAGUGCACUAUAUAUAGGGAAUAGGGUUCUAUAGGGCUCUGGUCUAAAGUAGUGCACUAUAUAGCCCAGUGUGACCCAACUCCGGUCCUCCAGCACUCCCAACAUCAACACAUUGUUAUUGUAGCCCAGGACAAAAAUCACCUGAUUCUACUUGUCAAGUGGCUUGAUGAUUAGUUGACAAGUAGAAUCAGGUGUGCUUGUCCGGGGGCCACAAUAAAAAGAUGUAAUGGCGGGGAUACUGGAGGACCGCAGUUGAGAACCACUGAUUAUAGAAUGCCAUUUGGGACGCACACGUGUAAAAGACGAAAAGCUGCAAAAAAAAUCUAUGUAAAGUAUGUAAAUGGCUGAGGUCCUUGUUGUUGCUUAGGCAACGCUUGGCCAGAGAGCAUGUUGUUGAAACAUUCACUGCUAGCCAGCCAGUUACAGUGCCUUCGGAAUGUAUUCAGACCUCUUUACUUUUUCCACAUUUUGUUACAUUACAGCCUUAUUCUAAAAUUGAUUUUUUUUUUAAAACACAUCCACAGCAAUCUACACACAAUACUCCAUAAUGACAUCACAAUACUCCAUAAUGACAUCACAAUACCCCAUAAUGACAUUACAAUGUCAUCACAAUACUCCAUAAUGACAUCACAAUACCCCAUAAUGACAUCACAAUGCCCCAUAAUGACAUCACAAUACCACAUAAUGGCAACGCGAAAACAGGUUUAAAAAUGUUUUUGCAAGUAUUUACCUAAGUAUUCAGACCCUCGAAGUUGCUCAACAACCGGGAGACUAUUCAGGAUUGAGGGAAAGAUGAACGGAGAAAAGUAUAGAGAGAUCAUUGGUGAAACCUUCUCCAGAGCGCUCAAGACCUCAGACUGGGGAAAAGGUUCACCUUCCAACACAACGCAGGAGUGGCUUCGGGACAAGUCUCAAUGUCCUUGAGUGACCCAUCCAGAGCCCGGACUUGAACCCGAUCGAACAUCUCUGGAGAGACCUGAAAAUAGCUGUGCAGCAACGCUCCCCAUCCAACCUGACAGAGCUUGAGAGACUCUGCAGAGAACAAUGGGAGAAAAUCCCCAAAUACAGGUGUGCUAAGCUUGUAGCGUCAUACCCAAGAAGACUCGAGGCUGUGAUCGCUGCCAAAGGUGCUUCAACAAAGUACUGAGUAAAGGGUCUGAAUACUUAUGUAAAUGUGAUAUUUCAGUUUUUUAAUUUUGUAUAAAUUAGCAAACAUUUCAACAACAAAAAACUUGUUUUUGCUUUGUCAUUAUGGGGUAUUGUGUGUAGAUUGAUGAGGGGGAUGGAAAAAAACAAUUUAAUACAUUUUUGAAUAAAUCUGUAACGUAAAACAAAAUGUAAAAAGAAAGUCAAGGUUUUCUGAAAACUUUCCCGAAUGCAAUUUAUAACAGUAGGAUGAUUUGCUUGAAUUUUGGCUAUUGUUGUAAAAAAAGAGUCCUAAUCAAACUAAAGCUUCACAUUCAUUUGUAAAUAAAAUAGAUACAUAGAAAUGCGUUUUAUCACGAUGAAAAAGGGCACCACUACUAUAUUAUGUCCAUCAUUUCUAGUUAAUAAAAUCUAUGUUCCAUUUGAGAGAGAGAGAGAGAGAAAAAAAAAUUUGAAAGCUCUAAAAAAAACAGAUCUAUAAUUGUGAAGAUAAUGGGCAAGCUGUUGUGUGUUGGAAUUUCUGGCUCAUCGAUGUAUUUGUAAAAGUAAUUCUGUCCGUUUGGUCUUUGGUUUGCUGCUGUGUACUUGAUUUUUUUAUUUUUAUAAUAAUUAAUUAUAAUAAUUAUAAUAAUAGGUCUCUGAUGUGUGCUUUGAAAGAGAACAAUCGCAUUGGUUUUAUUGACAAGAACGAAACAGAAGAGUGGUGGCAUGAAAUAUUUGCCCGGUUGCAGACAUUUCUGUGAUGUCAUCCGAUUCUAUAGGCGUUGUGCUCAGAACCUUUUUUAAGCGGAAACACUGGAAAGACAUGUCAAUGAGGAAAGGAAAGACAUGUCAAUGAGGAAAGGAAAGACAUGUCUGUGAGGAAAGGAAAGACAUGUCAAUGAGGAAACAUGUCUAUGAGGAAAGGAAAGACAUGUCAAUGAGGAAAGGAAAGACAUGUCUGUGAGGAAAGGAAAGACAUGUCUAUGAGGAAAGGAAAGACAUGUCAGUGAGGAAAGGAAAGACAUGUCUAUGAGGAAAGGAAAGACAUGUCAGUGAGGAAACAUGUCUAUGAGGAAAGGAAAGACAUGUCAAUGAGGAAAGGAAAGACAUGUCUGUGAGGAAAGGAAAGACAUGUCAAUGAGGAAAGGAAAGACAUGUCUGUGAGGAAAGGAAAGACAUGUCAAUGAGGAAACAUGUCUAUGAGGAAAGGAAAGACAUGUCAAUGAGGAAAGGAAAGACAUGUCUGUGAGGAAAGGAAAGACAUGUCUAUGAGGAAAGGAAAGACAUGUCAGUGAGGAAAGGAAAGACAUGUCAAUGAGGAAAGGAAAGACAUGUCUAUGAGGAAAGGAAAGACAUGUCUAUGAGGAAAGGAAAGACAUGUCUGUGAGGAAAGGAAAGACAUGUCAGUGAGGAAAGGAAAGACAUGUCUAUGAGGAAAGGAAAGAUGUCUAUGAGGAAAGGAAAGACAUGUCUAUGAGGAAAGGAAAGACAUGUCUAUGAGGAAAGGAAAGACGUCUAUGAGGAAAGGAAAGACAUGUCUAUGAGGAAAGGAAAGACAUGUCAAUGAGGAAAGGAAAGACAUGUCUAUGAGGAAAGGAAAGAUGUCUAUGAGGAAAGGAAAGACACGUCUAUGAGGAAAGGAAAGACAUGUCUAUGAGGAAAGGAAAGACGUCUAUGAGGAAAGGAAAGACAUGUCUAUGAGGAAAGGAAAGACAUGUCUGUGAGGAAAGGAAAGACAUGUCUAUGAGGAAAGGAAAGACAUGUCUGUGAGGAAAGGAAAGACAUGUCUAUGAGGAAAGGAAAGACGUCUAUGAGGAAAGGAAAGACAUGUCUAUGAGGAAAGGAAAGACAUGUCAAUGAGGAAAGGAAAGACAUGUCUAUGAGGAAAGGAAAGACAUGUCUGUGAGGAAAGGAAAGACAUGUCUGUGAGGAAAGGAAAGACAUGUCUAUGAGGAAAGGAAAGACGUCUAUGAGGAAAGGAAAGACAUGUCUAUGAGGAAAGGAAAGACAUGUCAAUGAGGAAAGGAAAGACAUGUCUAUGAGGAAAGGAAAGACGUCUAUGAGGAAAGGAAAGACAUGUCUAUGAGGAAAGGAAAGACAUGUCAAUGAGGAAAGGAAAGACAUGUCUAUGAGGAAAGGAAAGAUGUCUAUGAGGAAAGGAAAGACAUGUCUAUGAGGAAAGGAAAGACGUCUAUGAGGAAAGGAAAGACAUGUCUAUGAGGAAAGGAAAGACAUGUCUGUGAGGAAAGGAAAGACAUGUCUGUGAGGAAAGGAAAGACAUGUCUAUGAGGAAAGGAAAGACAUGUCUGUGAGGAAAGGAAAGACAUGUCUGUGAGGAAAGGAAAGACAUGUCUAUGAGGAAAGGAAAGACAUGUCUAUGAGGAAAGGAAAGACAUGUCUAUGAGGAAAGGAAAGACAUGUCAAUGAGGAAAGGAAAGACAUGUCUGUGAGGAAAGGAAAGACAUGUCUAUGAGGAAAGAUGUCUAUGAGGAAAGGAAAGACAUGUCUAUGAGGAAAGGAAAGACAUGUCUGUGAGGAAAGAUGUCGAUGAGGUUCCCUGUUUUCAACAGACAAACUUUGUAGGUUCUCUUUUAUUUCACUACAUGUUUAUGAUAUGAAACAUAGCUUUGUCACAUAAACCUUAUAAUGGACAAAUGUAACGAUGGAAUGACGAACGAAGGCCCGUAGCAACAACAACAACAAAAACAGAAAAUACACAAAAAUAUUUUUCAUGAUCUAAGGUAAGAAAGAAAGUAAACAUUUUAAGAAUUGUCAUGUAAAAAAAUGACUCUACUAUAAAAUUGUCUUGUAGCAAAUAUGUGCAUUAAUAAUAAUAAUAAUAAUCUCAGUGAGAUUUAAUCAUUCUCAUCCACGAGAAUAUCAUCUAAGUUUUGAGGGAAAAUGUCCUCAAUGUCCUUAAAACCCUUUUAAAAACCGACAUGCUUCGUUAUGCUGAUGAAUGACUGUAAUGCGUAGGCGUACAUGUGUUGAUCAUUUUACUACUUCGUAUUCUUAAGUGCUUACUGAAAUGGCACCCUGUUCUCUCUAUAGUGCACUACUUUUGACCAGACCAGAUCAGUAGUAGUGCACUAUACAGGGAAUAGGGUGCCAUUUCGGACGCACGUUCAGUAAGGUAACCACUGUCUGUUAUGGUAAGGGCGGCUUCUGUGUACCUGACUGGCAGUGCUACUGUAGUUAAUUACAGUAAAGUUGGGCAGGUUCUGUGUACCUGACUGGCAGUGCUACUGUAGUUAAUUACAGUAAAGUUGGGCAGGUUCUGUGUACCUGACUGGCAGUGCUACUGUAGUUAAUUACAGUAAAUUGGGCAGGUUCUGUGUACCUGACUGGCAGUGCUACUGUAGUUAAUUACAGUAAGUUGGGCAGGUUCUGUGUACCUGACUGGCAGUGCUACUGUAGUUAAUUACAGUAAAGUUGGGCAGGUUCUGUGUACCUGACUGGCAGUGCUACUGUAGUUAAUUACAGUAAAGUUGGGCAGGUUCUGUGUACCUGACUGGCAAUGCUACUGUAGUUAACUUAAUUAAAGUAAGUUACAUUACUUUACAUUGUGGGCUGUUUACUUAAUAUAAGUUAAGAUAAUUCUCUGUGUUUCAUUAAUGACUGACUGUUAUUUUUGCAUACUUUUUUUUUAAAUUUUGCAUUUGUAAAGAAAGAAGUUGUUAACAAAAAUGUAUUGAUUUUUGGCAUUAUACGAUAAGGCACUGAUAUUUGAAUUGAAUCUUUGAAUGAAGUACACGAGUUCCAACUCUAGAAUUAGAAUGAAUUGUUUUCGAUUCUAAGGUUCCAUCUAGCAGUGACUCGUUGUGAGUUCCGACUGACCCUGAGCCAAUACCAACUCAGUUUGACUCUUAUCUAUCCAGUUCAUUCCUACAAGUAGAAGAAGCUCCCUCCCUCUGUUGUUGUCUGGUGUACUGUGUCAUAUGUACAGUAGCUUGUUAAUAUGGCAAAACAAAAGCGUUUAAUGUUUCUUUUUCAAUGGAAAGUGCUCACUGCUGAGAAUUUUUAAAGUGGUUUUAAAAGCCAAUAAACUUUUUUUAUAGAAUGUUGCUCUUCAUCGUGUUUGCUUCAUUUUUUAAAAUGGCAACGUUUGUAACGGGCGUCGUAUAGAGGGGACCAAGGCGCAGCGUGUUGAGUGCUCAUAUUGUAUUUUAAUGGGAAUCGAACACUUAAGACAAAUAAACAAAAAAAAACGACAGCCAACAGUCCUGUCAGGUUACACAAACGAAACAGAAAACAAAUACCCACG